Molecule: ribosomal RNA, 1527 nt
Filed under: uncultured bacterium
Lineage: Bacteria
Description: bacterial SSU rRNA
Rfam family: Bacterial small subunit ribosomal RNA
Source: RNAcentral
CGUUACGAUUCGCCCUUAGAGUUUGAUCAUGGCUCAGAAUGAACGUUGGCGGCGUGGAUUAGGCAUGCAAGUCGAGCGAAAAGCUUCCUUCGGGAGGUGGACAGCGGCGAAAGGGAGAGUAACGCGUGGAUUAUCUGCCCUCGGGUCCGGGAUAGCUGCGGGAAACUGCAGGUAAUACCGGAUAACAUCUCAGGAUUAAAGGUGUGAUUCCGCCUGAGGAUGAGUCCGCGUCCUAUUAGCUUGUUGGUGGGGUAAUGGCCUACCAAGGCUUUGAUGGGUACUGGGUGUGAGAGCACGACCCAGCUCACUGGGACUGAGACACUGCCCAGACACCUACGGGUGGCUGCAGUCGAGAAUCUUCGGCAAUGGGCGAAAGCCUGACCGAGCGACGCCGCGUGCGGGAUGAAGGCCUUCGGGUUGUAAACCGCUGUCAGAGGGGAUGAAAUGCAUGGGGGUUAUCCCCCAUGUUUGACAAAUCCUCAGAGGAAGUACGGGCUAAGUUCGUGCCAGCAGCCGCGGUAAGACGAACCGUACGAACGUUAUUCGGAAUUACUGGGCUUAAAGGGUGCGUAGGCGGCGCUGAAAGUUGGGUGUGAAAUCCCUCGGCUUAACCGAGGAACUGCGCCCAAAACUUCAGUGCUUGAGGGAGACAGAGGUGAGCGGAACUUAGGGUGGAGCGGUGAAAUGCGUUGAUAUCCUAAAGGAACGCCAGUGGCGAAAGCGGCUCACUGGGUCUCUUCUGACGCUGAGGCACGAAAGCUAGGGUAGCGAACGGGAUUAGAUACCCCGGUAGUCCUAGCUGUAAACGAUGAGCACUGGGUGGGAGAGUCCUUCAUAGCUUUCCAACCGAAGCGAAAGUGUUUAGUGCUCCGCCUGGGGGAGUAUGGUCGCAAGGCUGAAACUCAAAGGAAUUGACGGGGGCUCACACAAGCGGUGGAGGAUGUGGCUUAAUUCGAGGCUACGCGAAGAACCUUAUCCUAGCCUUGACAUGCACGGAUUAACCCUGUGAAAGCAGGGCGACGCCUUCGGGUGGAACGUGCACAGGUGCUGCAUGGCUGUCGUCAGCUCGUGUCGUGAGAUGUCGGGUUAAGUCCCUUAACGAGCGAAACCCUUGUCACUAGUUGCCAGCGCGUUAUGGCGGGGACUCUAGUGAGACUGCCGGUGUCAAACCGGAGGAAGGUGGGGAUGACGUCAAGUCCUCAUGGCCUUUAUGGCUAGGGCUGCACACGUCCUACAAUGGUACGAACAAAGGGACGCGAACUCGCGAGAGCAAGCAAAUCCCACAAAUCGUGCCUCAGUUCGGAUUGCAGGCUGCAACUCGCCUGCAUGAAGCCGGAAUCGCUAGUAAUCGCAGGUCAGCAUACUGCGGUGAAUAUGUUCCUGAGCCUUGUACACACCGCCCGUCAAGCCACGAAAGUGGGGGGUAUCCGAAGUCGCCAAGCCAACCUCCGGGAGGCAAGCGCCGAAGAUAAACUCCGCGAUUGGGACUAAGUCGUAACAAGGUAUCCGUAAAGGGCGAAUCGCGUC